GUGCUUGCUGUGGAGAACAUAUACUGAAACUGGAAUGACAGAAGAUUAGCACGGCUCCUGCACAAAGAUGACACGCAAAUUCAUGAAGCGUUCCAUACUAAA
Molecule: small nuclear RNA, 102 nt
Organism: Ailuropoda melanoleuca (giant panda)
Lineage: Eukaryota; Metazoa; Chordata; Mammalia; Carnivora; Ursidae
Source: Ensembl